RNAcentral lists this ribosomal RNA (1059 nucleotides) under Triticum aestivum (bread wheat). Its description in RNAcentral is "partial small subunit ribosomal RNA". Lineage: Eukaryota; Viridiplantae; Streptophyta; Magnoliopsida; Poales; Poaceae. The record is from RNAcentral.
AUGGGUGGUUUCAGCCGAGCCAGUUGCUUCCUCUGCCUGGGCAUCCCACCGCCUCCCCGGGCCGAACCACGCCGAGCCGCUGUGGCACGAACCUUCGCCUUAGACGAGCUCGCGGCCUUCGCCUUGGACGAGCUCGCGGCGGCGACCAGGAACUUCAGAGACGACUCCAGCGUCGUUGGUCGGGAGGCGAAUCUCUACAAAGCUUAUCUCAAGAGCAUCAACAAGAUCGUUAAUAUUAAGCUGCAGCAUGCCGUUCGUACUAGUGGACCAUCGGAGCAACUCAACAGGGAGUUUCUCGCCCAUGUCCUGACGCUGAGCGCCCUGCGCCACCCGAAUGUCGUCAACCUCAUUGGCUUCUGCGCGGACGGCGAAUACAAAAUCUUGGUUCACGAGCACGUCCCAUUGGGUUCUCUCGAAGAUCACCUCCAUCCCCGUGAUCGGUCUCCAGCAGGCAAAGCACCGUUGGACUGGAACACAAGGAUGAACAUAGCUGCCCGUGUGGCCAAAGGUUUAGAGUAUCUGCACCACAAAGGUGUGGUGUACCGUAAAUCCAUGGGUAGCUCGGACAUCUUGCUCGGAGAUGGCUACCACCCAAAGCUGUCCCAGUAUGGACUGGCAGACCUUGGACGGUUGCUUGCAGAGGAUAACAAAGACUGGAGUACUGAAUUCUGGGGAAGCACUACCAUUGCCCCUGAGACAUUCGUUACCGGGAAGGUGACCAUGGAGUCGAACGUGUACAGCUUCGGCGGACUACUGCUGGAGAUGAUCACGGGGCGGAGGCCCAUUGACCCCGCCCAGCCCGCCGCCGAGGAUCGGAACCUUAUCGCAUGGGCCACACGACUGAUGAAGGACAGGAGCCAAUUCCGAAGGAUGGCAGACCCGGCGCUGCAGGGCCGGUACCCGUCCAUGGAUUUGGAGGAGGCCCUGACAGUUGCUUCCAUGUGCGUCCACCAACAGCCGGCCAUGAGAUCGCCCAUCGGCACCGUCGUCACGGCUCUGUCUCGCCUCGCAUACGAUGUCGAUCCACCCGAAUCAUCACACCCUGCAGCACCUAGUUAA